GACGAACGCUGGCGGCGUGCCUAAUACAUGCAAGUAGAACGCUGAAGAGAGGAGCUUGCUCUUCUUGGAUGAGUUGCGAACGGGUGAGUAACGCGUAGGUAACCUGCCUUGCAGCGGGGGAUAACUAUUGGAAACGAUAGCUAAUACCGCAUAACAAUGGAUGACACAUGUCAUUUAUUUGAAAGGGGCAAUUGCUCCACUACAAGAUGGACCUGCGUUGUAUUAGCUAGUAGGUGAGGUAACGGCUCACCUAGGCGACGAUACAUAGCCGACCUGAGAGGGUGAUCGGCCACACUGGGACUGAGACACGGCCCAGACUCCUACGGGAGGCAGCAGUAGGGAAUCUUCGGCAAUGGGGGCAACCCUGACCGAGCAACGCCGCGUGAGUGAAGAAGGUUUUCGGAUCGUAAAGCUCUGUUGUAAGUCAAGAACGAGUGUGAGAGUGGAAAGUUCACACUGUGACGGUAGCUUACCAGAAAGGGACGGCUAACUACGUGCCAGCAGCCGCGGUAAUACGUAGGUCCCGAGCGUUGUCCGGAUUUAUUGGGCGUAAAGCGAGCGCAGGCGGUUUGAUAAGUCUGAAGUUAAAGGCUGUGGCUCAACCAUAGUUCGCUUUGGAAACUGUCAAACUUGAGUGCAGAAGGGGAGAGUGGAAUUCCAUGUGUAGCGGUGAGAUGCGUAGAUAUAUGGAGGAACACCGGUGGCGAAAGCGGCUCUCUGGUCUGUAACUGACGCUGAGGCUCGAAAGCGUGGGGAGCGAACAGG
This 765-nucleotide ribosomal RNA is filed under the name uncultured Streptococcus sp. Its description in RNAcentral is "bacterial SSU rRNA". It matches the Rfam family "Bacterial small subunit ribosomal RNA", at positions 28 to 776 of the family's 1533-position model. Lineage: Bacteria; Bacillati; Bacillota; Bacilli; Lactobacillales; Streptococcaceae. The record is from RNAcentral.